GACUUUUUACAUGAUCUCAUAUUUAUUGAUAUAAAAUAAAUAAUAUUUGCGAGAUGUCAAACAAACGGUAAUUUUUGGACGACGUUACACUCUUCGUUUAAUUUAUCGGAACAGACUAUAUUUUAUUAAGCUGGCGCGCCAUCUAUAAACAACAAAUAUUUAUGGCAGAAGACACAUUGUGAAGGAAAAGUUCCAGAGUUGGUACUGACUAAUGCUCUUAUUGUUCGAUCUAAUAUUAUAUGUUGUAUGACAAGGCACUAAAGAAUUCAAAAAUAUUUUGCUGCUAAUCUAUACGAAUUUCAAUUAUUUGUCUUUUAACCUUUAAAAGUGAGACUAGACACUACAGAUGUAAAGAUGUAAAGAUGUACAUUUCUGUAUGAAUAUCCAAUAACUUGUAGCAUGGAAAAAUUUCCUUGCCUAGCAGGACUAGGCUUUACUGUGUCUGUGAAUAAAAGACUGGAGAUAGAUGAAGUAGAAGACAAAUUUAUAACUAAUAAACUACUUCUUGAAUUGAACACCAUUAAAGAAAGGUCCAAUGGUGUUUACACGUACCAGGAUGUCCUCAACUGGAUAUCAAGUCUUAGUGGUAAAGAAAAUGUAACCAACAAAAGCGUAUAUUUAAAGGUAAAAUCUAUACUACUGAAAAUCAAGACAAAAGUUUCAAACCUUAAGAAAAACAAACUUAACAGUGAACAUGUUGAGAAUUAUUUGAAUAUGGUUAUAGACACUGAUUGGUUGUUAGAAAUUCCAGAAACAAGAAAGCGUCAUAACAAUGAUACAGAAAGAAUUUCAAAUGUAAAAUCAAA
Long non-coding RNA from Mytilus californianus (California mussel), 806 nucleotides. RefSeq lists it as uncharacterized. Lineage: Eukaryota; Metazoa; Mollusca; Bivalvia; Mytilida; Mytilidae. The transcript has 4 exons. The record is from RefSeq and is a predicted model, not a curated record.